RNAcentral lists this ribosomal RNA (958 nucleotides) under Staphylococcus aureus. Its description in RNAcentral is "partial 23S ribosomal RNA". It matches the Rfam family "Bacterial large subunit ribosomal RNA", at positions 566 to 1529 of the family's 2925-position model. The record is from RNAcentral. Lineage: Bacteria; Bacillati; Bacillota; Bacilli; Caryophanales; Staphylococcaceae.
ACAAGUAGUCAGAGCCCGUUAAUGGGUGAUGGCGUGCCUUUUGUAGAAUGAACCGGCGAGUUACGAUUUGAUGCAAGGUUAAGCAGUAAAUGUGGAGCCGUAGCGAAAGCGAGUCUGAAUAGGGCGUUUAGUAUUUGGUCGUAGACCCGAAACCAGGUGAUCUACCCUUGGUCAGGUUGAAGUUCAGGUAACACUGAAUGGAGGACCGAACCGACUUACGUUGAAAAGUGAGCGGAUGAACUGAGGGUAGCGGAGAAAUUCCAAUCGAACCUGGAGAUAGCUGGUUCUCUCCGAAAUAGCUUUAGGGCUAGCCUCAAGUGAUGAUUAUUGGAGGUAGAGCACUGUUUGGACGAGGGGCCCCUCUCGGGUUACCGAAUUCAGACAAACUCCGAAUGCCAAUUAAUUUAACUUGGGAGUCAGAACAUGGGUGAUAAGGUCCGUGUUCGAAAGGGAAACAGCCCAGACCACCAGCUAAGGUCCCAAAAUAUAUGUUAAGUGGAAAAGGAUGUGGCGUUGCCCAGACAACUAGGAUGUUGGCUUAGAAGCAGCCAUCAUUUAAAGAGUGCGUAAUAGCUCACUAGUCGAGUGACACUGCGCCGAAAAUGUACCGGGGCUAAACAUAUUACCGAAGCUGUGGAUUGUCCUUUGGACAAUGGUAGGAGAGCGUUCUAAGGGCGUUGAAGCAUGAUCGUAAGGACAUGUGGAGCGCUUAGAAGUGAGAAUGCCGGUGUGAGUAGCGAAAGACGGGUGAGAAUCCCGUCCACCGAUUGACUAAGGUUUCCAGAGGAAGGCUCGUCCGCUCUGGGUUAGUCGGGUCCUAAGCUGAGGCCGACAGGCGUAGGCGAUGGAUAACAGGUUGAUAUUCCUGUACCACCUAUAAUCGUUUUAAUCGAUGGGGGGACGCAGUAGGAUAGGCGAAGCGUGCGAUUGGAUUGCACGUCUAAGCAGUAAGGCUGAG